AUUGAACGCUGGCGGAAUGCUUUACACAUGCAAGUCGAACGGCAGCAUAGGUGCUCGCACCUGAUGGCGAGUGGCGAACGGGUGAGUAAUACAUCGGAACGUGCCCAGUCGUGGGGGAUAACGUAGCGAAAGUUACGCUAAUACCGCAUACGAUCUGAGGAUGAAAGCGGGGGACCGUAAGGCCUCGCGCGAUUGGAGCGGCCGAUGUCAGAUUAGGUAGUUGGUGAGGUAAAGGCUCACCAAGCCGACGAUCUGUAGCUGGUCUGAGAGGACGACCAGCCACACUGGGACUGAGACACGGCCCAGACUCCUACGGGAGGCAGCAGUGGGGAAUUUUGGACAAUGGACGCAAGUCUGAUCCAGCCAUUCCGCGUGCAGGACGAAGGCCUUCGGGUUGUAAACUGCUUUUGUACGGAACGAAAAAGCUCUUACUAAUACUAGGAGUCCAUGACGGUACCGUAAGAAUAAGCACCGGCUAACUACGUGCCAGCCGCCGCGGUAA
This 502-nucleotide ribosomal RNA is filed under the name uncultured bacterium. Its description in RNAcentral is "partial 16S ribosomal RNA". It matches the Rfam family "Bacterial small subunit ribosomal RNA", at positions 30 to 523 of the family's 1533-position model. The record is from RNAcentral.